RNAcentral lists this ribosomal RNA (253 nucleotides) under uncultured bacterium. Its description in RNAcentral is "partial 16S ribosomal RNA". It matches the Rfam family "Bacterial small subunit ribosomal RNA", at positions 524 to 776 of the family's 1533-position model. The record is from RNAcentral.
UACGAGUGCUUCAAGCGUUAUCCGGAAUCAUUGGGCGUAAAGGGCGCGUAGGCGGCGCGCGUAGUCAACGGUGAAAGCCCGGGGCUCAACCCCGGGUCGGCCGUCGAUACUCUCGUGCUUGAGCACUGUAGAGGCAGGUGGAAUUCCGGGUGUAGCGGUGGAAUGCGUAGAGAUCCGGAAGAACACCGGUGGCGAAGGCGGCCUGCUGGGCAGUAGCUGACGCUGAGGCGCGACAGCGUGGGGAGCAAACAGG